GUAUUUUUCAACUGCGUUCGUUUAUUUUGAAAUGAAUCCUGGCGACCGUGACGUCAUCUGACUGCGCGGUGUGACUGUCGCGAACUUGACGCAGCAACAUCAACUCCAAACGGCGUCAGUGACAGUUGGGCUUUUCGUUGCUCAGCGCCGCUGGGAAAACCUCCCAGGAAAGCUGAAAGAAAGUGGAAACCCAGGCCCAGCUGCUUCGAGUCCUCUCCGGGACACACAGCCCUCUGACAUGGAAUAAUUUUUGGCAAUUUUUUUUGGUUCUUUGUCCCAACACGUCUACCUUUGGUCUUUAAUUUAAAACGUGUUAAAGGAGUUUUGCACCCUGCCAGAGUUGGACAGUCAUGAUGUUGAGCGCUGAAGUCCUGAAGAAGGAGUUUGUCUCCUUUCUCCUUCUUCAUGCAUUGACCUUUGACUGAAGAAGGAGCUUUAGAAGAAUUAGGAACAAACUUCCUUGCAGUUGACUUUGCAUUAUGGUUAUUUCUUGCUCAGUUGUUGAUAUGCUAAUAAGUUACUUUACAGAAAAAGGAAUUUUGUGCUGUAGGGGCAUUGACUAUAUGUAAAGAUGCGCAAACCCUCCAUGACGUCACCCAUGGGUGAGCUUAGUGUGAAUAAAUGAGCAAAGCAGUGGAGCUGAGAUGGGCCAUACAAACAUCUGUGGGCAGUGACCUGCUCACUCAGAGUGACCACACCCUGAAUUAUGCAUGGCUUUAUUGUGUCCUACCAUCAUCUUCCCAAACUCUUGUGGACUUCUUGAAAGUCUGUCAGAGGAACUGUCAUCAUUUUCCACUUAAUGCUGCUCUGUUGCUGUUUUCUGUCAAACCAGAAGAACUCAUGUCGUUUUUUUUCCUUCUCUCCUGCAGCCUCCAUCCAGCCGUCCGUGGAAAGGGGAUCUCUCUUUGAAUUGCCUUUCCCAAGGUUUCUUCCCAUCUUCCAUGGGGAGUUUUUUCUCGUCUUCAUAGAGAACUUGGGCUGGAUCAAGACCUCCUCAAAAAUCAAGCUUCAUUAUAAGAAAUAACACAUCAUUAUAGAUUAUUUCCAGAUUCCAUUUAGAGUUACAUCCUGGUUAAUAAGUUAUUUACACAAAACCAAGUUGAGCUGCACAUUUUAGACGACAUUUUACGUUUAUUAUAUAACGUAUUAAAGAGCUACUUUACACAUUGAGAUUAAUAAUUCAAAAUAUGACCAAAAAAUAAGUUCUCUUGUAUUAUUAGAUGCUUUUUUCGCCCCUAGUGGAAAUUCACAAGAUGUAAAAUAAAUAUAAAUUAAAACCAGCCUCGUCUUUACCAGGUGCAAAAUUAAAGUUAUUUACAUGUUAAUGCAUUAAAAAGUGUAAUCCUGUUAUAUAAAAUACACUUUUACAAGAUAGUUAAAUUAGAAAAUGCAUGAUUGCAAGAUUAAAAGCCCAAUGUACUGAUUUAGAUAAACCUUUUAAGUUGCAAACAUUUUUUAUGUUUAUAUUGUUUUGACAUAAUAAUGUUUCACUAACUUAAUAUUGUGAAUUAUUUAAAAUCUGAUUUUUUUGCUUUAGUCGAUUUAAAACAAUUCAAAUUGAACAGUGUAGCCAUCCCAUAAUAGACCACUUUAGAAGACAUUGAAAGUAUUUGAGUUUACAAGAAGUCUUAGAAUGUUGAAUAUAAUCACUUUUAUUGCACUUUGAGUUUGUAGAAAUCUGUGAAUGUAGUAGAAAGAUGAACAAUGCACAGAUAAAUACAAACAAAACAUCAACAUUUUUGUUUAAGUGAUUAAAUCUCCAAAAGAUCUUUUAAAUUCUCCCAAGUAAAAGCUUUUUACUUCUCCUCACCACCUGCACAGGACGCUGCUGCUCAUUCACUGGAGAUUUAGAAACAUGUAAUUUUUUAUUUUUUAAAAAUGCAUAAAAGUUGUGUUGGUGCAUGAACUGAGGCUGCUGACUGACCUUAUAUUGCACAAUGUUCAAUGUCUUUAAAUAUUUUCACAGUAAGGAUUCAUCUGUCGAUCUAUCUAUACCUGAAACCUCAUCCUCUGUAUAUAGUCUUCUACAUGUUUGUUUUUUUUUUUUUUUUAAGAAUAAAAUCAUCUGUAUAUAAUGCUAUGGGCAA
This is a long non-coding RNA of Amphiprion ocellaris (clown anemonefish), 2087 nucleotides long. RefSeq lists it as uncharacterized. The transcript has 2 exons. The record is from RefSeq and is a predicted model, not a curated record. Lineage: Eukaryota; Metazoa; Chordata; Actinopteri; Pomacentridae.